GUAGUCGUGGCCGAGUGGUUAAGGUGAUAGACUUGAAAUCCAUUGGGGUCUCCUCGCGCAGGUUUGAACCCUGCCGACUACG
This is a non-coding RNA of Danio rerio (zebrafish), 82 nucleotides long. Lineage: Eukaryota; Metazoa; Chordata; Actinopteri; Cypriniformes; Danionidae. The record is from Rfam.